RNAcentral lists this unclassified non-coding RNA (419 nucleotides) under soil metagenome. Its description in RNAcentral is "partial contains 5.8S ribosomal RNA, internal transcribed spacer 2, and large subunit ribosomal RNA". The stretch from base 1 to 120 matches the Rfam family "5.8S ribosomal RNA", at positions 35 to 154 of the family's 154-position model. The record is from RNAcentral.
GAUGAAGAACGUAGCGAAAUGCGAUAAGUAACGUGAAUUGCAGAAUUCAGUGAAUCAUCGAAUCUUUGAACGCAUCUUGCGCUCCUUGGUAUUCCUUGGAGCAUGCCUGUUUGAGUAUCAUGAGCAAAUCUCAAAGUCAAUUCCUUUUGUUAAUUCAAUUGGUUUUGCUUUGGACUUGGAGGUCUUGCAGAUUUUCACAGUCUGCUCCUCUUAAAUGCAUUAGCUGGAUCUCAGUAAUUAUGCUUGGUUCCACUCGGCGUGAUAAGUAUCACUCGCUGAGGACACUGUUAAAAAGGUGGCCAGGAAAAUACUGAUUGAACCGCUUCUAACGGUCUAUUAAGUUAGACAAUUACCCUUAAGUUUGAUCUCAAAUCAGGUAGGACUACCCGCUGAACUUAAGCAUAUCAAUAAGCGGAGGA